ACUUGCCCUGUAUUUUAUCUUGCACUUAAAAAAAAAAAAAAAAGAAGAAGAAAGCAGCGACUAACUACCAACUAUUUAAAUCUCAAAAUAAGAUAACAACAUAUUCAUCAUGAGAUCUGAGCCACCAAUGCCUUCCUCUAAACAAAAGCUCUUACAGUAAAAAUGCACUGGCAAGAAUGGCCCUCUCAAAUCUCAUAAAGCCCAUGUUGUUGCAAGAGCUAAGAAAACCUAGCUCUUUAAAUAGAGUAAUUCUGGGCUAAGAACAUUAAUGGCAUCCCAGAACUGGAAAGCUGGAUGUGUAAAUUAAAAAGCAAAAAGCACAUAUACACUCUUAAUAUCCUAAUACCUAUUACAUGUGAUCUCUUUCAAAGUAGCUUUAAAUGAGAAGUGCAAUUACUCUUUGAUAUAGCUGCUAGAAACAUAGCCAGGAUGCCCUUUGUUAUAAAUUUUAAAAAUGAGUCCGUAUUUCAUAAAGGCUUAUAGUAAGUGAGUCUUCAAAACCAGAACAUAUUAUUCCCUUUUUGGUUUUUUUCGCCAUUUGAAAUAAAAAUCUGCACCAAAUACAGAGUAGUUCCCUUCACUUGGCAGAAUCCCUUUCAGCCACCAUGACAGGAAUGAUCAUAAGUGCAAUGAGAAAUCCCCUCCACACCACACCUAAGUUCUCUCAAGGCAACGAGGAACUGGCAUCAUCAUCAUCUGGAGGCCACAGUAGGUGACUCAGCCGGAUAAGCAGCUGGACACAGGCCAUGGAGUGUGAGUCGCAGUGUCUGCAAUCCCAACCUGGACCCAAAUCCAAAGGUAAUAUGCCAGAUAUCUGGACAUUGUGCUUGUAAAAGGGACUGCACCACCAAAGGGACUGUCUGCCUGAUCAACACGAGUGAGGGAGGACGCUGGGUUUUCCCCCACAAAAAUCCUGAGCUGUUACUUACAGCUUUCCUUUUAGUGUUCAUCAGAAGAGUCUCUUUAAACACAACAAUGCAUUUAUUCUCACAUAGUCAAAAAAUGCUUUAGAAGGAUUAUCCUUGUUUUAGAGGCACAGAACAGGUCCAUAUUUGCAAACACAUCCAUACAACCUGAGGCAGCCCGGGGCUGGCUCCCCAGUGAUGCUGUGCAGCAGCGGGAUGUGCAGGGCACCAGCGAUAACUCUGCAGAGCCAGAGCUAAUCACCACAUCCCUGCUCUGGCCCUGCUCACCCCAUGUCCUGAAGGAGGAGGAUUUAUUUGCUUCAGAAGGAAUUUGGGAAUUCAGCCUAUAUAUUCAACUUGCACAUAAAUCACAGAUGUUAUCUAAAUGGGGUGUGCUCAGUGAGGGUCCCUUCAACGCUGAGAAUGCAAAAAUACCCAACAAACAAAAAGUCCUCAACUCCCUCUGAAAUGCUAAAACCCACUCAAACGACCAAAAAUCCCCCAACAAAACCUGUCCAAAAUUAAACAACAAAGCAAACAAACAAAAAACAAAAAGCCACGGGAAAAUACAAACUCACGCUAAAAGCAAAAGAGGAAAAAAGAAGAAAAACCUAAAGGCAAAAAUCACCCCUACGAAAGUACCAAAUGGCGCGGUAACCGCUGCCGAGCCGGGCGCCGGGCACGGCGGCGGGCGCGCUCCCGGUGGCCCGGGGAGGGCGGCGGGUCCCGCCGGGGGCGAGAGCGGGGCCACUGUGGGGCAUCCCCAUACCCUGGGCCUUGCCCUCCGCCUCCGGCCGUGCCCCAAGGACUGCGAGUAAAGCGACAGCUUUGUGUCGUCUCCAGUCAAAUCUGACGUUGGAGUUGACGUUUCCUGAGUUUAUCUUUUUGUCGUAAAUCAUUAUGGUUUCCACACACACAUUCCCCCGCCCCGGUCCCGCCGCCCCCACCCCGGCCCUUUUUUGCGUUCAAAAUCCUUCCACCAAAAAAACGAUCCGGGAAAGACUCCAGCCCACGGAAAGGCACGGCGGAGGGGCGGAGGGAGGCUGCUUUUCCCGAGGGACACAGUAAUGAAACAGAGGAGUGGCCGCGCUGCCGGCUCCUCCGGCGGGGUCCCUGCCUGCUCCCGGGCCGCAUCGCCCCGUCCCGUCGGGCGAGCGGUUUGCAAUGCUCAGCCUCUCAGCGAAGGUCUUUUUUUCAGAACGCGACCGUCCCGGGGCAGCUUUGCCCGGCCCGGGUGUCCGGUGCCCGCCGAGCACCAGGAA
Long non-coding RNA from Chloebia gouldiae (Gouldian finch), 2167 nucleotides. NCBI's taxonomy places the organism in Eukaryota, Metazoa, Chordata, Aves, Passeriformes, Passeridae. The record is from Ensembl.